This 937-nucleotide ribosomal RNA is filed under the name unidentified. RNAcentral's name for it is "bacterial SSU rRNA". It matches the Rfam family "Bacterial small subunit ribosomal RNA", at positions 515 to 1455 of the family's 1533-position model. The record is from RNAcentral.
CCGCGGUAAUACGGAGGGUGCAAGCGUUACUCGGAAUCACUGGGCGUAAAGAGCGUGUAGGCGGAUAGAUAAGUCAGAAGUGAAAUCCAAUAGCUUAACUAUUGAACUGCUUUUGAAACUGUCUAUCUAGAGUAUGGGAGAGGUAGAUGGAAUUUCUGGUGUAGGGGUAAAAUCCGUAGAGAUCAGAAGGAAUACCGAUUGCGAAGGCGAUCUACUGGAACAUAACUGACGCUGAGACGCGAAAGCGUGGGGAGCAAACAGGAUUAGAUACCCUGGUAGUCCACGCCCUAAACGAUGUACACUAGUUGUUGCUAUGCUCGACAUAGCAGUAAUGCAGUUAACACAUUAAGUGUACCGCCUGGGGAGUACGGUCGCAAGAUUAAAACUCAAAGGAAUAGACGGGGACCCGCACAAGCGGUGGAGCAUGUGGUUUAAUUCGACGAUACGCGAAGAACCUUACCUGGUCUUGACAUAGUAAGAACCAUUUAGAGAUAGAUGGGUGUCUGCUUGCAGAAACUUAUAUACAGGUGCUGCACGGCUGUCGUCAGCUCGUGUCGUGAGAUGUUGGGUUAAGUCCCGCAACGAGCGCAACCCUCGUCAUUAGUUGCUAACACUUCGGGUGAGAACUCUAAUGAGACUGCCUACGCAAGUAGGAGGAAGGUGAGGACGACGUCAAGUCAUCAUGGCCCUUACGACCAGGGCUACACACGUGCUACAAUGGGGUAUACAAAGAGCAGCGAUACAGUGAUGUGGAGCAAAUCUAAAAAAUACCUCCCAGUUCGGAUUGUAGUCUGCAACUCGACUACAUGAAGUUGGAAUCGCUAGUAAUCGUAGAUCAGCAAUGCUACGGUGAAUACGUUCCCGGGUCUUGUACUCACCGCCCGUCACACCAUGGGAGUUGAUUUCACUCGAAGCGGGGAUGCUAAGAUAGCUACCC